This 45-nucleotide non-coding RNA is filed under the name Schistosoma mansoni. The record is from RNAcentral. Lineage: Eukaryota; Metazoa; Platyhelminthes; Trematoda; Strigeidida; Schistosomatidae.
AUCCAGCUAACGAGUCCCAAAUAGGACGAAACGUUCGUCCUGGAU